UUUAUUUUGUUCAGUGUUUCAUAUAUUGGUGUGUCUUGUAUCUUUGGGAUGAGUUGGCAGUCAAGUACAAUGUUACAAGAGGCCAUUAGAACAUUCCAGAAGCCCAGCUGCCAGUGCCUUUUUAUCACCCCCAAAUUGCCUUGUAUUCUUUGUAUAUGUUUUGUAGAUGUUUGUAUGUAACUUUUCUGUCUCUUCUAAUAGGAUGAAAACUUUACAAAGGCAGGGAUUGUUUCAUCUUUGUGUACAUUCACCUUCUAGCACAGUGUGGCUCAGAGGAGAUGCUCAAUAUAUGUUCGUUAAUCAGUUGAUUGAAAACCUGAGCUAUCCUUUUAAUAGGAAGAAGAAAAGGCGGAAUGAAGAAGGAAAGGGAGAAAGAUGGAGGAGAGGAGGAAGUAGCUUUCUCAGAUAGAGCUUCCCACUGUCCCCUGCCCCCACAUGAUGUUUCCCACUACGCCCACUUAUCUAAACUCAGGAUCUAACUGCACCACAAUCUGUACAGGAUCUUUAUCUGUCCCCUGCUGAGGGUAAGUUUUCCCCAGAGCUUUCCUCUACUCACAGAGAAAAGCAGUUUUCUAUGCGGUCAUUGCAUCAUAAAUAGCUUCCUUUCCUUUUGUGAGUCCCCCCACCUCUGCAGGGAUGGGCAGGGGAAACCCCAUGUGCUGGAUAUAAAUACCAAAGCCUGGGGAGAUGGGGAGCCAGCAGAACUUGAAGGUGCAUCAUCUUGAGAAGCCACAGCUCACUCCAAGAUGCAGCACAUCUCCAUGGUCCUGCUAUGUCUGCUGCUUGUGACAUUGGGACCUCAAGAUAGCUUCAGCAGUAGUUUGGUUGAUUCGAAGCCUACCUGCUGCUUUGUCUUUCUGAAGAGGAGCCUUCCACACCAUCUCAUCAAAAACUAUGGUAUCACUAGCCGUUCCUGCCCCUACAAGGCUGUAAUGUUUACUCUGAAGAAAGGCAAAAUAUACUGUGCACAUCUCGAAGACAAAUGGGUUCAGGAUUACUUGAAGAAAAUGAAGAAAAUGAACAGUAGUGGCUCAAUUUAAAGCCAAAUUUGAGGGCCACCUCCAAUCAGAAAACUAUCCCGAUUCUACCAGUUGCUACUGUACUCCUCCUUCCUUUGUAUAUAUUGUAUGUUUAAUUGUCUAUGUCUAUGUUGUGUCCCUAGUUAGAGUGUAAGUUCCUUGAAGACAAGGAAGGCUUCCCCUCCCCCCACCCUUUUUGUCUUGUAUUCCCAGGACCAAGCACACUGCCUGACCCAUAGCAGACAACUGACAAAUGUUUGUUGAAUUGAAUUGAAAGCGGAUAUCCAACAAAGAGUGAAGACAAUCUGGGCAGCCUAGAGCCCUGUUCAUCCAGUAUUCCUUUACUGACAAUUUUGCUAGGCUCUGAAGCUUGAACUAGGUCUCGAUAAGCUAUUGUUAUGUCUUAUUUAUUGAUAGGUCUAAAACCUUUGAUUUCUGUAACCCAUCUAUUUCUUGGACUCUACUUGGAAAUAGAGGCAUAGCCUCAGUUGGCCUCAAACUGAGCAUCAUAAGGCAACAUAGCUGUGUUUGACUUGGAAUAAAUAUAACUUAUCUAAAUUAAGACA
Molecule: long non-coding RNA, 1585 nt
Filed under: Phascolarctos cinereus (koala)
Lineage: Eukaryota; Metazoa; Chordata; Mammalia; Diprotodontia; Phascolarctidae
Description: lncRNA (ENSPCIG00000029667.2)
Source: RNAcentral